UUAGGGUCCCUCUACAUGUGCAGAAAAAGCGUUAUGGGAUCUAAUUCAUGACACACAAUCAUCCCUCCUGCCAUGUCACAUUUAUGGCAGAAGGCA
Gavialis gangeticus (Gharial) is the source of this 96-nucleotide long non-coding RNA. RefSeq lists it as uncharacterized. The transcript is spliced from 3 exons. Lineage: Eukaryota; Metazoa; Chordata; Crocodylia; Gavialidae. The record is from RefSeq and is a predicted model, not a curated record.